UACAGAGGGGGCGAGCGUUGUUCGGAAUUACUGGGCGUAAAGGCGCGUAGGCGGCCUUCUAAGUCGAACGUGAAAUCCCCGGGCUCAACCCGGGAACUGCGUCCGAUACUGGGAGGCCUUGAAUCCGGGAGAGGGAUGUGGAAUUCCAGGUGUACGCGGUGAAAUGCGUAGAUAUCUGGAGGAACACCGGUGGCGAAGGCGGCAG
This 205-nucleotide ribosomal RNA is filed under the name uncultured bacterium. RNAcentral describes it as "partial 16S ribosomal RNA". It matches the Rfam family "Bacterial small subunit ribosomal RNA", at positions 524 to 727 of the family's 1533-position model. The record is from RNAcentral.